GAUGAACGCUGGCGGCGUGCCUAAUACAUGCAAGUCGAGCGAACAGACGAGGAGCUUGCUCCUCUGACGUUAGCGGCGGACGGGUGAGUAACACGUGGAUAACCUACCUAUAAGUCUGGGAUAACUUCGGGAAACCGGAGCUAAUACCGGAUAAUAUAUUGAACCGCAUGGUUCAAUAGUGAAAGACGGUUUUGCUGUCACUUAUAGAUGGAUCCGCGCCGCAUUAGCUAGUUGGUAAGGUAACGGCUUACCAAGGCAACGAUGCGUAGCCGACCUGAGAGGGUGAUCGGCCACACUGGAACUGAGACACGGUCCAGACUCCUACGGGAGGCAGCAGUAGGGAAUCUUCCGCAAUGGGCGAAAGCCUGACGGAGCAACGCCGCGUGAGUGAUGAAGGUCUUCGGAUCGUAAAACUCUGUUAUUAGGGAAGAACAAAUGUGUAAGUAACUAUGUACGUCUUGACGGUACCUAAUCAGAAAGCCACGGCUAACUACGUG
Molecule: ribosomal RNA, 497 nt
Filed under: uncultured bacterium
Lineage: Bacteria
Description: partial 16S ribosomal RNA
Rfam family: Bacterial small subunit ribosomal RNA
Source: RNAcentral